CAAAAAGUAGUUUAUAAAAAUUUAAACUUUGGAAGUUUAAGAUGUGGGAUCCACCUUUUUGA
This 62-nucleotide transfer RNA is filed under the name Leptestheria dahalacensis. RNAcentral describes it as "tRNA-Pro". It matches the Rfam family "tRNA". Rfam says of the family: Transfer RNA (tRNA) molecules are approximately 80 nucleotides in length. Their secondary structure includes four short double-helical elements and three loops (D, anti-codon, and T loops). Further hydrogen bonds mediate the characteristic L-shaped molecular structure. tRNAs have two regions of fundamental functional importance: the anti-codon, which is responsible for specific mRNA codon recognition, and the 3' end, to which the tRNAs corresponding amino acid is attached (by aminoacyl-tRNA synthetases). tRNAs cope with the degeneracy of the genetic code in two manners: having more than one tRNA (with a specific anti-codon) for a particular amino acid; and 'wobble' base-pairing, i.e. permitting non-standard base-pairing at the 3rd anti-codon position. Lineage: Eukaryota; Metazoa; Arthropoda; Branchiopoda; Diplostraca; Leptestheriidae. The record is from RNAcentral.